UUAGGAACCCCGGGGAGAGCUCAGAUUGUAUAUCGGGGCCUUUGGCUUCGAAUUGUAGUCUCGAAAUGCAACGCCAACGGAGGCGCAGAUUUAAGCCCCUUGAAAGAGAGCGCCGACGAGGGUGAGAGUCCCGUUUGUCAAUCUGCAGCCCUCCGUACACGGCUUGCACUUGCAGAGUCACGUUCCUCGGGAUUGGAGCGCAAAGUGGGUGGUAAAUUUCAUCUAAAGCUAAAUACGUGUUUGAGACCGAUAGCACACAAGUACCAUGAGGGAAAGAUGAAAAGGACUUUGAAAAGAGAGUUAAAAGUGCCUGAAAUUGCUGCAAGGGAAGCGGAUGGAACCAGUCCACACGGUGAGAUUGUUGGGCGGAGGCGAAAGGAGUUACACUUUCAACGCAAGUGUGAGUGUGAGUUCUGGUCGUCUCUCGCCCGGUGGUUCUUGCCGUGGGGGUCAUUGGUGAUUGGUGGCCGAGGAUACCUGCAAAGGCAUGGUAGCCCGUCCCCGGGUGGGUGAACGCGUUUGUUAGUACUCGGCCGCUGAUCAUGUGAGUGGUGUCCGGUAACCGGCAAA
Molecule: ribosomal RNA, 570 nt
Filed under: Margalefidinium polykrikoides
Lineage: Eukaryota; Dinophyceae; Gymnodiniales; Gymnodiniaceae
Description: eukaryotic LSU rRNA
Rfam family: Eukaryotic large subunit ribosomal RNA
Source: RNAcentral